CGGCCAUAUGAGAAAACGUCGGAACUCAUCCGAUCGCCGAAGUUAAGCAAAGCUGAACCUGGUCAGUAUCUAGAUGGGUGACCGUUCGGGAAUACCAUGUUCUGUAA
Molecule: non-coding RNA, 107 nt
Organism: Acanthosepion pharaonis
Lineage: Eukaryota; Metazoa; Mollusca; Cephalopoda; Sepiida; Sepiidae
Source: the annotation of a GenBank genome assembly